Molecule: ribosomal RNA, 1317 nt
Filed under: uncultured Alphaproteobacteria bacterium
Lineage: Bacteria; Pseudomonadati; Pseudomonadota; Alphaproteobacteria
Description: bacterial SSU rRNA
Rfam family: Bacterial small subunit ribosomal RNA
Source: RNAcentral
GAACGUACGCUGGCGGCACGCCUAACACAUGCAAGUCGAACGAAGUAGCAAUACUUAGUGGCAGACGGGUGAGUAACAUGUAGGUAUCUGCCCUUUGGCCUGGAAUAACACGAGGAAACUUGUGCUAAUACCGGAUAAGUCUUUACGGAGAAAGCUUUAUGCACCAUUGGAUGAGCCUGCACUUGAUUAGUUUGUUGGUGGGGUAAUGGCCUACCAAGACUGUGAUCAAUAGCUGAUUUGAGAGGAUGAUCAGCCACAUUGGGACUGAGACACGGCCCAAACUCCUACGGGAGGCAGCAGUGGGGAAUCUUGCACAAUGGAGGAAACUCUGAUGCAGCGAUGCCGCGUGAGUGAAGAAGGCCUUUGGGUUGUAAAGCUCUUUCGUCGGGGAAGAAAAUGACUGUACCCGAAUAAGAAGGUCCGGCUAACUUCGUGCCAGCAGCCGCGGUAAUACGAAGGGACCUAGCGUAGUUCGGAAUUACUGGGCUUAAAGAGUUCGUAGGUGGUUGAAAAAGUUAGUGGUGAAAUCCCAGAGCUUAACUCUGGAACUGCCAUUAAAACUUUUCAGCUAGAGUAUGAUAGAGGAAAGCAGAAUUUCUAGUGUAGAGGUGAAAUUCGUAGAUAUUAGAAAGAAUACCAAUUGCGAAGGCAGCUUUCUGGAUCAUUACUGACACUGAGGAACGAAAGCAUGGGUAGCGAAGAGGAUUAGAUACCCUCGUAGUCCAUGCCGUAAACGAUGUGUGUUAGACGUUGGAAAUUUAUUUUCAGUGUCGCAGCGAAAGCGAUAAACACACCGCCUGGGGAGUACGACCGCAAGGUUAAAGCUCAAAUGAAUUGACGGGGACCCGCACAAGUAGUGGAGCAUGUGGUUUAAUUCGAAGAUACGCGCAGAACCUUACCAACACUUGACAUGUUCGUCGCGACUCUAAGAGAUUAGAGUUUUCGGUUCGGCCGGACGAAACACAGGUGCUGCAUGGCUGUCGUCAGCUCGUGUCGUGAGAUGUUGGGUUAAGUCCCGCAACGAGCGCAACCCUCACUUUUAGUUGCCAGCAUUAAGUUGGGCACUCUGAAAGAACUGCCAGUGAUAAGCUGGAGGAAGGUGGGGAUGACGUCAAGUCCUCAUGGCCCUUACGUGUUGGGCUACACACGUGCUACAAUGGCAUCUACAACAGGAAGCAAAACGGCAACGUUAAGCAAAUCCCGAAAAGAUGCCUCAGUUCGGAUUGCACUCUGCAACUCGAGUGCAUGAAGCUGGAAUUACUAGUAAUCGUGGAUCAGCGUGCCACGGUGAAUGCGUUCCCGGGUCUUGUACACACC